Molecule: small RNA, 117 nt
Filed under: Marmota monax (woodchuck)
Lineage: Eukaryota; Metazoa; Chordata; Mammalia; Rodentia; Sciuridae
Source: RNAcentral
ACUGGGUGUGAUGGCACAUGCCUGUAAUCCCAGCAGUUUGGGAGGCUGAGACAGGAGGAUGGCUUGAGCCCAGGAGUUUGAGGGCAAACUAGGCAAUGUAACAAAACCCCAUCUCUU